This 891-nucleotide ribosomal RNA is filed under the name Geastrum schmidelii. RNAcentral describes it as "LSU rRNA". It matches the Rfam family "Eukaryotic large subunit ribosomal RNA", at positions 69 to 942 of the family's 3401-position model. Lineage: Eukaryota; Fungi; Basidiomycota; Agaricomycetes; Geastrales; Geastraceae. The record is from RNAcentral.
CAAGGAUUCCCCUAGUAACGGCGAGUGAAGAGGGAUAAGCUCAAAUUUGAAAUCGGGCGGCUUAAGGUCGUCCGAGUUGUAAUCUAGAGAAGUGUUUUCCGCGCUGGACCGUGUACAAGUCCCUUGGAACAGGGCGUCAUAGAGGGUGAGAAUCCCGUCUACGACACGGACUACCAGUGCUUUGUGAUACACUCUCAACGAGUCGAGUUGUUUGGGAAUGCAGCUCAAAACGGGUGGUAAAUUCCAUCUAAAGCUAAAUACAGGCGAAAGACCGAUAGCGAACAAGUACCGUGAGGGAAAGAUGAAAAGCACUUUGGAAAGAGAGUUAAACAGUACGUGAAAUUGUUGAAAGGGAAACGCUUGAAGUCAGUCGCGUCUUCAGAAAUUCAGCUUGGCUUUUGCCUGGUGUACUUUUCUGUUGGACGGGCCAGCAUCGGUUUCGGCCGCCAGAAAAAGGUGGGAGGAAGGUGGCACCUCCGGGUGUGUUAUAGCCUCUCAUCGUAUGUGGCGGCUGGGACUGAGGACCGCAGCACGCCUUUAAUGGCCGGGGUUCGCCCACGUAACGUGCUUAGGAUGCUGGCGUAAUGGCUUUAAACGACCCGUCUUGAAACACGGACCAAGGAGUCUAACAUGCCUGCGAGUAUUUGGGUGGUAAACCCAUAUGCGGAAUGAAAGUGACUAGUUGGGACUUCUGUCAUGGAAGGCACCGACGCCCGGACCAGACCUAUUGUGACGGAUCCGAGGUAGAGCAUGUAUGUUGGGACCCGAAAGAUGGUGAACUAUGCCUGAGUAGGGUGAAGCCAGAGGAAACUCUGGUGGAGGCUCGUAGCGAUUCUGACGUGCAAAUCGAUCGUCGAACUUGGGUAUAGGGGCGAAAGACUAAUCGAACCA